AACCGAGAACUCCUACGGGAGGCAGCAGUGGGGAAUAUUGCACAAUGGGCGCAAGCCUGAUGCAGCCAUGCCGCGUGUAUGAAGAAGGCCUUCGGGUUGUAAAGUGCUUUCAGCGGGGAUGAAGGGAGUAAAGUUAAUACCUUUGCUCAUUGACGUUACCCGCAGUAGAAGCACCGGCUAACUCCGUGCCAGCAGCCGCGGUAAUACGGAGGGUGCAAGCGUUAAUCGGAAUUACUGGGCGUAAAGCGCACGCAGGCGGUUUGUUAAGUCAGAUGUGAAAUCCCCGGGCUCAACCUGGGAACUGCAUCUGAUACUGGCAAGCUUGAGUCUCGUAGAGGGGGGUAGAAUUCCAGGUGUAGCGGUGAAAUGCGUAGAGAUCUGGAGGAAUACCGGUGGCGAAGGCGGCCCCCUGGACGAAGACUGACGCUCAGGUGCGAAAGCGUGGGGAGCCAACAGGAUUAGAUACCCGAGUAGUCCGACUGAGA
This 485-nucleotide ribosomal RNA is filed under the name uncultured bacterium. RNAcentral describes it as "bacterial SSU rRNA". It matches the Rfam family "Bacterial small subunit ribosomal RNA", at positions 327 to 805 of the family's 1533-position model. The record is from RNAcentral.